AUGUUCCGUAGGUGAACCUGCGGAAGGAUCAUUACCGAGUGUAGGGUUCCUAGCGAGCCCAACCUCCCACCCGUGUUUACUGUACCUUAGUUGCUUCGGCGGGCCCGCCAUUCAUGGCCGCCGGGGGCUCUCAGCCCCGGGCCCGCGCCCGCCGGAGACACCACGAACUCUGUCUGAUCUAGUGAAGUCUGAGUUGAUUGUAUCGCAAUCAGUUAAAACUUUCAACAAUGGAUCUCUUGGUUCCCGCAUCGAUGAAGAACGCAGCGAAAUGCGAUAACUAGUGUGAAUUGCAGAAUUCCGUGAAUCAUCGAGUCUUUGAACGCACAUUGCGCCCCCUGGUAUUCCGGGGGGCAUGCCUGUCCGAGCGUCAUUGCUGCCCAUCAAGCACGGCUUGUGUGUUGGGUCGUCGUCCCCUCUCCGGGGGGGACGGGCCCCAAAGGCAGCGGCGGCACCGCGUCCGAUCCUUCGAGCGUAUGGGGCUUUGUCACCCGCUCUGUAGGCCCGGCCGGCGCUUGCCGAACGCAAAUCAAUCUUUUUCCAGGUUGACCUCGGAUCAGGUAGGGAUACCCGCUGAACUUAAGCAUAUCAAUAAGCGGAGGAAAA
RNAcentral lists this unclassified non-coding RNA (603 nucleotides) under Aspergillus flavus. RNAcentral describes it as "sequence contains ITS1, 5.8S rRNA gene, ITS2". The stretch from base 217 to 370 matches the Rfam family "5.8S ribosomal RNA". The record is from RNAcentral. Lineage: Eukaryota; Fungi; Ascomycota; Eurotiomycetes; Eurotiales; Aspergillaceae.